This 253-nucleotide ribosomal RNA is filed under the name uncultured bacterium. RNAcentral describes it as "partial 16S ribosomal RNA". It matches the Rfam family "Bacterial small subunit ribosomal RNA", at positions 524 to 776 of the family's 1533-position model. The record is from RNAcentral.
UACAGAGGGGGCAAGCGUUGUUCGGAAUUACUGGGCGUAAAGGGCGCGUAGGCGGCCUGCUAAGUUGAACGUGAAAUCCCUGGGCUCAACCCAGGAACUGCGUCCGAUACUGGUUGGCUUGAAUCCGGGAGAGGGAUGUGGAAUUCCAGGUGUAGCGGUGAAAUGCGUAGAGAUCAGCAGGAACACCCGUGGCGAAGGCGGCCCCCUGGGCCGUACCUGACGCUGAGGCGCGAAGGCUAGGGGAGCGAACGGG